Molecule: ribosomal RNA, 895 nt
Filed under: uncultured bacterium
Lineage: Bacteria
Description: bacterial SSU rRNA
Rfam family: Bacterial small subunit ribosomal RNA
Source: RNAcentral
GUGUCAGCAGCCGCGCGGUAAUACGGGAGUGGCAAGCGUUAUCCGGAAUUAUUGGGCGUAAAGCGUCCGCAGGCGGCCCUUCAAGUCUGCUGUUAAAAAGUGGAGCUUAACUCCAUCAUGGCAGUGGAAACUGUUGGGCUUGAGUGUGGUAGGGGCAGAGGGAAUUCCCGGUGUAGCGGUGAAAUGCGUAGAUAUCGGGAAGAACACCAGUGGCGAAGGCGCUCUGCUGGGCCAUCACUGACGCUCAUGGACGAAAGCCAGGGGAGCGAAAGGGAUUAGAUACCCCUGUAGUCCUGGCCGUAAACGAUGAACACUAGGUGUCGGGGGAAUCGACCCCCUCGGUGUCGUAGCCAACGCGUUAAGUGUUCCGCCUGGGGAGUACGCACGCAAGUGUGAAACUCAAAGGAAUUGACGGGGGCCCGCACAAGCGGUGGAGUAUGUGGUUUAAUUCGAUGCAACGCGAAGAACCUUACCAGGGUUUGACAUCCUGCGAAUCUCUUGGAAACAGGAGAGUGCCUUCGGGAACGCAGUGACAGGUGGUGCAUGGCUGUCGUCAGCUCGUGUCGUGAGAUGUUGGGUUAAGUCCCGCAACGAGCGCAACCCACGUCUUUAGUUGCCAGCAUUUAGUUGGGCACUCUAGAGAGACUGCCGGUGAUAAACCGGAGGAAGGUGUGGAUGACGUCAAGUCAUCAUGCCCCUUACAUCCUGGGCUACACACGUACUACAAUGCUACGGACAAAGGGCAGCAAGUUCGCGAGGACAAGCAAAUCCCAUAAACCGUGGCUCAGUUCAGAUCGUAGGCUGCAACUCGCCUACGUGAAGGCGGAAUCGCUAGUAAUCGCAGGUCAGCAUACUGCGGUGAAUACGUUCCCGGGGCUUGCACACACCGCCCGUC